AAAUUGAAGAGUUUGAUCAUGGCUCAGAUUGAACGCUGGCGGCAGGCCUAACACAUGCAAGUCGAGCGGUAGCACAGAGAGCUUGCUCUCGGGUGACGAGCGGCGGACGGGUGAGUAAUGUCUGGGAAACUGCCUGAUGGAGGGGGAUAACUACUGGAAACGGUAGCUAAUACCGCAUAAUGUCGCAAGACCAAAGUGGGGGACCUUCGGGCCUCAUGCCAUCAGAUGUGCCCAGAUGGGAUUAGCUUGUAGGUGGGGUAACGGCUCACCUAGGCGACGAUCCCUAGCUGGUCUGAGAGGAUGACCAGCCACACUGGAACUGAGACACGGUCCAGACUCCUACGGGAGGCAGCAGUGGGGAAUAUUGCACAAUGGGCGCAAGCCUGAUGCAGCCAUGCCGCGUGUGUGAAGAAGGCCUUCGGGUUGUAAAGCACUUUCAGCGGGGAGGAAGGCGGUGAGGUUAAUAACCUCAUCGAUUGACGUUACCCGCAGAAGAAGCACCGGCUAACUCCGUGCCAGCAGCCGCGGUAAUACGGAGGGUGCAAGCGUUAAUCGGAAUUACUGGGCGUAAAGCGCACGCAGGCGGUCUGUCAAGUCGGAUGUGAAAUCCCCGGGCUCAACCUGGGAACUGCAUUCGAAACUGGCAGGCUAGAGUCUUGUAGAGGGGGGUAGAAUUCCAGGUGUAGCGGUGAAAUGCGUAGAGAUCUGGAGGAAUACCGGUGGCGAAGGCGGCCCCUGGACAAAGACUGACGCUCAGGUGCGAAAGCGUGGGGAGCAAACAGGAUUAGAUACCCUGGUAGUCCACGCCGUAAACGAUGUCGAUUUGGAGGUUGUGCCCUUGAGGCGUGGCUUCCGGAGCUAACGCGUUAAAUCGACCGCCUGGGGAGUACGGCCGCAAGGUUAAAACUCAAAUGAAUUGACGGGGGCCCGCACAAGCGGUGGAGCAUGUGGUUUAAUUCGAUGCAACGCGAAGAACCUUACCUGGUCUUGACAUCCACAGAACUUAGCAGAGAUGCUUUGGUGCCUUCGGGAACUGUGAGACAGGUGCUGCAUGGCUGUCGUCAGCUCGUGUUGUGAAAUGUUGGGUUAAGUCCCGCAACGAGCGCAACCCUUAUCCUUUGUUGCCAGCGGUCCGGCCGGGAACUCAAAGGAGACUGCCAGUGAUAAACUGGAGGAAGGUGGGGAUGACGUCAAGUCAUCAUGGCCCUUACGACCAGGGCUACACACGUGCUACAAUGGCAUAUACAAAGAGAAGCGACCUCGCGAGAGCAAGCGGACCUCAUAAAGUAUGUCGUAGUCCGGAUUGGAGUCUGCAACUCGACUCCAUGAAGUCGGAAUCGCUAGUAAUCGUAGAUCAGAAUGCUACGGUGAAUACGUUCCCGGGCCUUGUACACACCGCCCGUCACACCAUGGGAGUGGGUUGCAAAAGAAGUAGGUAGCUUAACCUUCGGGAGGGCGCUUACCACUUUGUGAUUCAUGACUGGGGUGAAGUCGUAACAAGGUAACCGUAGGGGAACCUGCGGUUGGAUCACCUCCUUACCUUAAAGAA
This 1549-nucleotide ribosomal RNA is filed under the name Klebsiella pneumoniae. RNAcentral describes it as "bacterial SSU rRNA". It matches the Rfam family "Bacterial small subunit ribosomal RNA". The record is from RNAcentral. Lineage: Bacteria; Pseudomonadati; Pseudomonadota; Gammaproteobacteria; Enterobacterales; Enterobacteriaceae.